GUGGGGAUAGUGUAACUAGGUAACACAUUGGUCUCCAAAACCAAAAAUUCUGGGUUCAAAUCCUAGUCCCCACGCUA
This 77-nucleotide transfer RNA is filed under the name Mastigocladus laminosus UU774. RNAcentral describes it as "tRNA-Trp". It matches the Rfam family "tRNA". From Rfam's summary of the family: Transfer RNA (tRNA) molecules are approximately 80 nucleotides in length. Their secondary structure includes four short double-helical elements and three loops (D, anti-codon, and T loops). The record is from RNAcentral. Lineage: Bacteria; Bacillati; Cyanobacteriota; Cyanophyceae; Nostocales; Hapalosiphonaceae. RNAcentral also lists the same sequence under 3 other names.